RNAcentral lists this ribosomal RNA (402 nucleotides) under uncultured bacterium. RNAcentral describes it as "bacterial SSU rRNA". It matches the Rfam family "Bacterial small subunit ribosomal RNA", at positions 355 to 774 of the family's 1533-position model. The record is from RNAcentral.
UGGGGAAUAUUGGACAAUGGGCGCAAGCCUGAUCCAGCAAUGCCGCGUGAGUGAUGAAGGCCUUAGGGUUGUAAAGCUCUUUCGCACGCGACGAUGAUGACGGUAGCGUGAGAAGAAGCCCCGGCUAACUUCGUGCCAGCAGCCGCGGUAAUACGAAGGAUCCGAGCGUUAUCCGGAUUUAUUGGGUUUAAAGGGUGCGAAGGUGGUUUGAUAAGUCAGCGGUGAAAGUUUGCAGCUUAACUGUAAAAAUGCCGAUGAAACUGUCGGACUUGAGUGUAAAUGAGGUAGGCGGAAUGCGUGGUGUAGCGGUGAAAUGCAUAGAUAUCACGCAGAACUCCGAUUGCGAAGGCAGCUUACUAAGCUACAACUGACACUGAAGCACGAAAGCGUGGGGAUCAAACA